AGAUUAAACUGAAGAGUUUGAUCCUGGCUCAGAUUGAACGCUGGCGGGAUGCUUUACACAUGCAAGUCGGACGGCAGCACGGGGCUUCGGCCUGGUGGCGAGUGGCGAACGGGUGAGUAAUGUAUCGGAACGUGCCCGGUAGCGGGGGAUAACUACGCGAAAGCGUGGCUAAUACCGCAUACGCCCUACGGGGGAAAGCGGGGGACCUUCGGGCCUCGCACUAUUGGAGCGGCCGAUAUCGGAUUAGCUAGUUGGUGGGGUAACGGCCUACCAAGGCGACGAUCCGUAGCUGGUUUGAGAGGACGACCAGUCACACUGGGACUGAGACACGGCCCAGACUCCUACGGGAGGCAGCAGUGGGGAAUUUUGGACAAUGGGGGCAACCCUGAUCCAGCCAUCCCGCGUGUGCGAUGAAGGCCUUCGGGUUGUAAAGCACUUUUGGCAGGAAAGAAACGGCACGGGCUAAUAUCCUGUGCAACUGACGGUACCUGCAGAAUAAGCACCGGCUAACUACGUGCCAGCAGCCGCGGUAAUACGUAGGGUGCAAGCGUUAAUCGGAAUUACUGGGCGUAAAGCGUGCGCAGGCGGUUCGGAAAGAAAGAUGUGAAAUCCCAGGGCUUAACCUUGGAACUGCAUUUUAACUACCGAGCUAGAGUGUGUCAGAGGGAGGUGGAAUUCCGCGUGUAGCAGUGAAAUGCGUAGAUAUGCGGAGGAACACCGAUGGCGAAGGCAGCCUCCUGGGAUAACACUGACGCUCAUGCACGAAAGUGUGGGGAGCAAACAGGAUUAGAUACCCUGGUAGUCCACGCCCUAAACGAUGUCAACUAGCUGUUGGGGCCUUCGGGCCUUGGUAGCGCAGCUAACGCGUGAAGUUGACCGCCUGGGGAGUACGGUCGCAAGAUUAAAACUCAAAGGAAUUGACGGGGACCCGCACAAGCGGUGGAUGAUGUGGAUUAAUUCGAUGCAACGCGAAAAACCUUACCUACCCUUGACAUGUCUGGAAUCCCGAAGAGAUUUGGGAGUGCUCGCAAGAGAACCGGAACACAGGUGCUGCAUGGCUGUCGUCAGCUCGUGUCGUGAGAUGUUGGGUUAAGUCCCGCAACGAGCGCAACCCUUGUCAUUAGUUGCUACGAAAGGGCACUCUAAUGAGACUGCCGGUGACAAACCGGAGGAAGGUGGGGAUGACGUCAAGUCCUCAUGGCCCUUAUGGGUAGGGCUUCACACGUCAUACAAUGGUCGGGACAGAGGGUUGCCAACCCGCGAGGGGAGCCAAUCCCAGAAACCCGGUCGUAGUCCGGAUCGCAGUCUGCAACUCGACUGCGUGAAGUCGGAAUCGCUAGUAAUCGCGGAUCAGCAUGUCGCGGUGAAUACGUUCCCGGGUCUUGUACACACCGCCCGUCACACCAUGGGAGUGGGUUUUACCAGAAGUAGUUAGCCUAACCGCAAGGGGGGCGAUUACCACGGUAGGAUUCAUGACUGGGGUGAAGUCGUAACAAGGUAGCCGUAUCGGAAGGUGCGGCUGGAUCACCUCCUUU
RNAcentral lists this ribosomal RNA (1535 nucleotides) under Bordetella holmesii. Its description in RNAcentral is "bacterial SSU rRNA". It matches the Rfam family "Bacterial small subunit ribosomal RNA". The record is from RNAcentral. Lineage: Bacteria; Pseudomonadati; Pseudomonadota; Betaproteobacteria; Burkholderiales; Alcaligenaceae.